UCCCUGAUGGUCCAGUGGCUAAGACUCCGAGCUCCCGAUGCAGGGGGGCCUGGGUUCAAUCCCUGGUCAGGGAA
Non-coding RNA from Bos taurus (domestic cattle), 74 nucleotides. The record is from Rfam. NCBI's taxonomy places the organism in Eukaryota, Metazoa, Chordata, Mammalia, Artiodactyla, Bovidae.